Molecule: ribosomal RNA, 83 nt
Filed under: Vishniacozyma dimennae
Lineage: Eukaryota; Fungi; Basidiomycota; Tremellomycetes; Tremellales; Bulleribasidiaceae
Description: partial 18S ribosomal RNA
Source: RNAcentral
GGUUCACAGUGUAUAUUAUGUGUAUAGCCCGCCGGACUCAAUCAUUAUCUUUCCUCGUAGGUGAACCUGCGGAAGGAUCAUUA